CGUAGGGUGCGAGCGUUAAUCGGAAUUACUGGGCGUAAAGCGUGCGCAGGCGGUUUUGUAAGACAGGCGUGAAAUCCCCGGGCUCAACCUGGGAACUGCGCUUGUGACUGCAAGGCUAGAGUACGGCAGAGGGGGUGGAAUUCCACGUGUAGCAGUGAAAUGCGUAGAGAUGUGGAGGAACACCAAUGGCGAAGGCAGCCCCCUGGGUCGAUACUGACGCUCAUGCACGAAAGCGUGGGUAGCAAACAGGAUUAGAUACCCUGGUAGUCCACGCCCUAAACGAUGUCAACUAGGUGUUGGGUGGGUAAAACCAUUUAGUACCGGAGCUAACGCGUGAAGUUGGCCGCCUGGGGAGUACGGCCGCAAGGUUA
RNAcentral lists this ribosomal RNA (371 nucleotides) under uncultured organism. RNAcentral describes it as "bacterial SSU rRNA". It matches the Rfam family "Bacterial small subunit ribosomal RNA", at positions 526 to 896 of the family's 1533-position model. The record is from RNAcentral.